CGAAGCAACACGAAGAACCUUACCAGGUCUGACAUCCCCUGACAACCCGAGAGAUCGGGCGUUCCCCUUCGGGGGACAGGGUGACAGGUGGUGCAUGGUUGUCGUCAGCUCGUGUCGUGAGAUGUUGGGUUAAGUCCCGCAACGAGCGCAACCCUCGACCUUAGUUGCCAGCAUUCAGUUGGGCACUCUAAGGUGACUGCCGGCUAAAAGUCGGAGGAAGGUGGGGAUGACGUCAAAUCAUCAUGCCCCUUAUGACCUGGGCUACACACGUGCUACAAUGGGUGGUACAAAGAGCAGCUAACUCGCGAGAGUAUGCAAAUCUCAAAAAGCCAUCCUCAGUUCGGAUUGGAGUCUGCAACUCGACUCCAUGAAGUUGGAAUCGCUAGUAAUCGCGGAUCAGCAUGCCGCGGUGAAUACGUUCCCGGGCCUU
Molecule: ribosomal RNA, 430 nt
Filed under: uncultured Anoxybacillus sp.
Lineage: Bacteria; Bacillati; Bacillota; Bacilli; Caryophanales; Anoxybacillaceae
Description: bacterial SSU rRNA
Rfam family: Bacterial small subunit ribosomal RNA
Source: RNAcentral